GCCGGAAUAGCUCAGUUGGGAGAGCGUUAGACUGAAGUCGUUUACGCAACAAUCAUCAAAGGCUCCCGGUUCAAUCCCGGGUUCCGGCG
RNAcentral lists this transfer RNA (89 nucleotides) under Dreissena polymorpha. It matches the Rfam family "tRNA". Rfam says of the family: Transfer RNA (tRNA) molecules are approximately 80 nucleotides in length. The record is from Rfam by way of RNAcentral. Lineage: Eukaryota; Metazoa; Mollusca; Bivalvia; Myida; Dreissenidae.